RNAcentral lists this long non-coding RNA (291 nucleotides) under Carica papaya (papaya). RNAcentral describes it as "long non-coding RNA (CPAP_LNC015470)". The record is from RNAcentral. Lineage: Eukaryota; Viridiplantae; Streptophyta; Magnoliopsida; Brassicales; Caricaceae.
AGCAAGAACAACCACUUUCCUUUUUACCUGCUUACUGGUACCUCUCGGAAUCUAUAGGGAUGUCCUUCUACGCGAGAACCUAAUAUUUAAAUUUGUCAAUUAACUAGCUAUCCUCAUACUCCAUCUGGUAAUGGGCGUCAAACAUACUAUCACCUCGAUAUCUCGUCCACUAUGAGAAUCAUGUCUCCCAAACCUUUUCGGUAUUGGACUUCUCAGCCCCGUUUGACUUAGGUAAUGUCCACAAUAGGAUUUUCUAUAUACCGAAUUUGUCCACCCUUUCUUAGGGUACCC